GACGAACGCUGGCGGCGUGCUUAACACAUGCAAGUCGAACGGAAAGGCCCUGCUUUUGCGGGGUGCUCGAGUGGCGAACGGGUGAGUAACACGUGAGUAACCUGCCCUUGACUUUGGGAUAACUUCAGGAAACUGGGGCUAAUACCGGAUAGGAGCUCCUGCUGCAUGGUGGGGGUUGGAAAGUUUCGGCGGUUGGGGAUGGACUCGCGGCUUAUCAGCUUGUUGGUGGGGUAGUGGCUUACCAAGGCUUUGACGGGUAGCCGGCCUGAGAGGGUGACCGGCCACAUUGGGACUCAGAUACGGCCCAGACUCCUACGGGAGGCAGCAGUGGGGAAUAUUGCACAAUGGGCGGAAGCCUGAUGCAGCAACGCCGCGUGCGGGAUGACGGCCUUCGGGUUGUAAACCGCUUUCGCCUGUGACGAAGCGUGAGUGACAGUAAUGGGUAAAGAAGCACCGGCUAACUACGUG
RNAcentral lists this ribosomal RNA (468 nucleotides) under uncultured bacterium. RNAcentral describes it as "partial 16S ribosomal RNA". It matches the Rfam family "Bacterial small subunit ribosomal RNA", at positions 28 to 507 of the family's 1533-position model. The record is from RNAcentral.